CCUACGGGAGGCAGCAGUGGGGAAUAUUGCACAAUGGGGGAAACCCUGAUGCAGCGACGCCGCGUGAGUGAAGAAGUAAUUCGUUAUGUAAAGCUCUAUCAGCAGGGAAGAAAAUGACGGUACCUGAGUAAGAAGCCCCGGCUAACUACGUGCCAGCAGCCGCGGUAAUACGUAGGGGGCAAGCGUUAUCCGGAUUUACUGGGGGGAAAGGGAGCGUAGACGGCAGUGCAAGUCUGGAGGGAAAGGCGGGGGCUCAACCCCCGGACUGCUCUGGAAACUGGACGGCUGGAGUGCAGGAGAGGUAAGUGGAAUUCCUAGUGUAGCGGUGAAAUGCGUAGAUAUUAGGAGGAACACCAGUGGCGAAGGCGGCUUACUGGACUGUAACUGACGUUGAGGCUCGAAAGCGUGGGGAGCAAACAGGAUUAGAUACCCUUGUAGUC
Molecule: ribosomal RNA, 440 nt
Filed under: uncultured bacterium
Lineage: Bacteria
Description: partial 16S ribosomal RNA
Rfam family: Bacterial small subunit ribosomal RNA
Source: RNAcentral